ACUAAAUAGAUACCCUGGUAGUCCACGCCCUAAACGAUGUCUACUAGUUGUCGGGGAUUCAUUUCCUUGGUAAACGCAGCUAAACGCGUGAAGUAGACCGCCUGGGGAGUACGGCCGCAAGGUUAAAACUCAAAGGAAUUGACGGGGACCCGCACAAGCGGUGGGGUGAUGUGGACUAAUUCGAUGCAACGCGAAAAAACCUUACCUACGCUUGACAUGCCAGGAACUUUCCAGAGAUGGAUUGGUGCCCGAAAGGGAACCUGGACACAGGUGCUGCAUGGCUGUCGUCAGCUCGUGUCGUGAGAUGUUGGGUUAAGUCCCGCAACGAGCGCAACCCUUAUCCUUAGUUGCUACGCAAGGGCACUCUAGGGAGACUGCCGGUGACAAACCGGAGGAAGGUGGGGAUGACGUCAAGUCCUCAUGGCCCCUAUGUGUAGGGCUUCACACGUCAUACAAUGGUCGGUACAGAGGGUCGCAACCCGCAGGGGGAGCCAAUCCCAGAAAACCGAUCGUAGUCCGGAUUGCAGUCUGCAACUCGACUGCAUGAA
This 548-nucleotide ribosomal RNA is filed under the name uncultured bacterium. RNAcentral's name for it is "bacterial SSU rRNA". It matches the Rfam family "Bacterial small subunit ribosomal RNA", at positions 772 to 1324 of the family's 1533-position model. The record is from RNAcentral.